UUAAUUUGAGAGUUUGAUCCUGGCUCAGGACGAACGCUGGCGGCGUGCCUAAUACAUGCAAGUCGAACGAACUCUGGUAUUGAUUGGUGCUUGCAUCAUGAUUUACAUUUGAGUGAGUGGCGAACUGGUGAGUAACACGUGGGAAACCUGCCCAGAAGCGGGGGAUAACACCUGGAAACAGAUGCUAAUACCGCAUAACAA
This 201-nucleotide ribosomal RNA is filed under the name Lactiplantibacillus plantarum. RNAcentral's name for it is "Lactobacillus plantarum partial 16S ribosomal RNA". It matches the Rfam family "Bacterial small subunit ribosomal RNA", at positions 1 to 179 of the family's 1533-position model. The record is from RNAcentral. Lineage: Bacteria; Bacillati; Bacillota; Bacilli; Lactobacillales; Lactobacillaceae.